UAGAGGUUUUUGUAGUUGAA
This 20-nucleotide transfer RNA is filed under the name Etheostoma nigrum (Johnny darter). RNAcentral describes it as "partial tRNA-Glu". Lineage: Eukaryota; Metazoa; Chordata; Actinopteri; Perciformes; Percidae. RNAcentral also lists the same sequence under 2 other names. The record is from RNAcentral.